RNAcentral lists this ribosomal RNA (605 nucleotides) under uncultured bacterium. Its description in RNAcentral is "bacterial SSU rRNA". It matches the Rfam family "Bacterial small subunit ribosomal RNA", at positions 338 to 943 of the family's 1533-position model. The record is from RNAcentral.
CCUACGGGAGGCAGCAGUAAGGAAUAUUGGUCAAUGGACGAAAGUCUGAACCAGCCAUGCCGCGUGAAGGAUUAAGGCCCUCUGGGUUGUAAACUUCUUUUAUCUGGGACGAAAAAAGGGUAUUCUUACUCACUUGACGGUACCAGAGGAAUAAGCACCGGCUAACUCCGUGCCAGCAGCCGCGGUAAUACGGAGGGUGCAAGCGUUAUCCGGAUUUACUGGGUUUAAAGGGUGCGUAGGUGGGCUUGUAAGUCAGUGGUGAAAUCUCCGGGCUUAACCCGGAAACUGCCAUUGAUACUAUAGGUCUUGAAUUAUCUGGAGGUAAGCGGAAUAUGUCAUGUAGCGGUGAAAUGCUUAGAUAUGACAUAGAACACCAAUUGCGAAGGCAGCUUACUACGGAUAUAUUGACACUGAGGCACGAAAGCGUGGGGAUCAAACAGGAUUAGAUACCCUGGUAGUCCACGCCCUAAACGAUGGAUACUCGACAUCAGCGAUACACUGUUGGUGUCUGAGCGAAAGCAUUAAGAUCCACCUGGAAGUACGAUCGCAAGAUUGAAACUUCAAAGGAAUUGACGGCUUGAGACGNGCGAGAGACACGAGGAGAG